CAAAAAAUUGAUAAAGAACACUUCAGUCUAACUGGAAAGGGCUGAACAAGACCACAUGAAUGGAAGCUAGACAAAAGCCCAUCGGAGAUUCAUUUCCAACAUAGAUGGCAAUUUAUCACUGGAGCUAUUUACCAGAAAUUAUCACGUCCCUCCCUUCCUUCCUCCAGGGAGGUGAUCCUUCCCCUCUACUCAGCCCUGGUGAGGCCACAUCUGCAGUGCUGGGUCCAUUUCUGGGCUCUCCAGGUCAAGACAGACACGGACUUACUGGAACGAGUCCAGCAAUGGGCCACAUAGAUAAUUAAGUGACUGAUCAUCUCUCAUAUGAGGAAAGGCUGCGAGAGCUGGGACUGUUCAGCCUGGAGAAGAGAAGGCUCAGGUGGAUCUCAUCAAUGUGUAUAAAUACAUGUUGGGAGACUGUAAAUAGGAUGCCAGACUCUUCUCAGUGGUGCCCAGUGACAGGAUGAGAGGCAAUGGCACAAACUGGAGCACAGGAAACUCCACUUGAACACAAGGAAACACUUCUUCACUGUGAUGGUGGCUGAACACUGGAACAAGCUGCCCAGAGAGGCUGUGGAGUCUCCGUCCUUGGAGAUAUUCAAAACCUGACUGGGCAGGGUCCUGGGCAACCUGCCCUAGGUGACCCUGCUUUGAGCAGGGGGCAGUGGACCAGAUGAUCUCCAGAGGUUCCUUCCAACUCCAACUAUUCUCUGAUUCUGUGGUUCUGUGAUUAUGCAGUGUGCCAGGUGGGAAUUUGUUUAUUGACUUCAGUGACCACUGGAUUCAAUUCUGUGCUUCUGGUUUUCAAACUCACUAUCUGAGUACUCUCGAGUCUCUCACUAGGAUAUGCAAAUCUCUCAUUCAGAUGAUCAAAACGCAAUGUCAUAACAUAAUGGCAUUCGAAUUUCUGAGUUCCAAUAUAUGCAUCCAGACAUGCCCCUUUCAGGCUCGAUCUGUCAGUGGGAUUUAUAGAUAAAGUAGGUUUUGAGUUGCUUGAGUGAUAUAAGCAAUCUAGUACAUUAUGUUUUUGCUUACUACUUACAGAAUGUUAAAACGCUCAGAGAAAUAAGUAAAUGAAGUUCCCCAAUAGA
Long non-coding RNA from Dromaius novaehollandiae (emu), 1088 nucleotides. RefSeq lists it as uncharacterized. The transcript is spliced from 2 exons. The record is from RefSeq and is a predicted model, not a curated record. NCBI's taxonomy places the organism in Eukaryota, Metazoa, Chordata, Aves, Casuariiformes, Dromaiidae.